UUAACAGGGGAGCUUUGAAGAGGCUGAGAGGGAACAACUUUAUGUUCCGACCCAUAACCUGAUUCGGAUAAUGCCGACGUAGGGAAACA
RNAcentral lists this non-coding RNA (89 nucleotides) under uncultured Ruminiclostridium sp. Lineage: Bacteria; Bacillati; Bacillota; Clostridia; Eubacteriales; Oscillospiraceae. The record is from RNAcentral.